GGAGAGAUGGCCGAGUGGUUGAAGGCGCUUGAUUCGAAAUCAAGUAUAGGUGAAAGCCUAUCGGGGGUUCGAAUCCCCCUCUCUCCG
This 87-nucleotide transfer RNA is filed under the name Oligoflexia bacterium. RNAcentral describes it as "tRNA-Ser". It matches the Rfam family "tRNA". From Rfam's summary of the family: Transfer RNA (tRNA) molecules are approximately 80 nucleotides in length. Their secondary structure includes four short double-helical elements and three loops (D, anti-codon, and T loops). The record is from RNAcentral. Lineage: Bacteria; Pseudomonadati; Bdellovibrionota; Oligoflexia.